RNAcentral lists this ribosomal RNA (417 nucleotides) under Symphonia globulifera (boarwood). RNAcentral's name for it is "5.8S ribosomal RNA". The stretch from base 257 to 413 matches the Rfam family "5.8S ribosomal RNA". Lineage: Eukaryota; Viridiplantae; Streptophyta; Magnoliopsida; Malpighiales; Clusiaceae. The record is from RNAcentral.
ACCUGCCCAGCARCACGACCUGUGAACUCGUUUAACAUAUGGACGAGGGCGUGCGGCCAAUCCUCAUCGGGUUGGAAACACGCCRUUGUCAUUCGAGGGGUGCCCAUUGCCCACUUGGCCUUUGGCUCCUCGCAACACAACAAACCAAUCCCGGCGCGGGUUGCGCCAAGGAACCAUCGUAAACGUAAGGAACUCCUCUCCAUCCCGAACAUGGCGUAUGCGACGAGGCCUCGUUCCUUUCAGUUGCAAACAAAACGACUCUCGGCAACGGAUAUCUCGGCUCUUGCAUCGAUGAAGAACGUAGCGAAAUGCGAUACGUGGUGUGAAUUGCAGAAUCCCGUGAACCAUCGAGUUUUUGAACGCAAGUUGCGCCCAAAGCCUUUUCGGUUGAGGGCACGUCUGCCUGGGUGUCACGCA